RNAcentral lists this long non-coding RNA (2425 nucleotides) under Homo sapiens (human). RNAcentral describes it as "non-protein coding lnc-ADAM2-6:3". Lineage: Eukaryota; Metazoa; Chordata; Mammalia; Primates; Hominidae. The record is from RNAcentral.
GUGGGUGGGCGCGCGGGGCUGUAGGAUCCACCCGCCUCGGGAUCCACGGAGCUGGGUCCCCGCCGCGCCCCGCGGACCCCACGGCCCUUCCGCUCCGCUCGGCCUCCACCACCCUGGCCUCGAGCUGCAGCCGUUCCAAGGACAACGGCCAUCCCUGUGGCUGGGCCGCCGGCUACGCAAUGCUGUCUCUCUUGCUGAUCCUCUCAGGCCUGGGCCGGCUGACCUCCGCGGGCCCACGCCACUUAUUCCAUCAAAAUUGAGGGGAAACCAUACACUUCCUGCUUGAAAAACAGUCAUUUUUACACCCACAUUUCCUGGUGUAUUUAUACAACAAAUCAGGAACAUUGUAUGCAGAUUCUUCAUUUUCAAAGGGUCAUUGCUUUUACCAAGGAUAUGCUGCAGACAUUCCAAAAUCAGUUGUGGCACUACGCACCUGUUCUGGACUCAGAGGAUUACUGCAGUUAGAUAAUAUCAGUUAUGGUAUUGAACCAUUGGAAUCUUCACCUACAUAUAAGCAUGUAGUUUAUCGAAUUAAAAAUGAUGCUAUUGGUCAUUCCUCCUUUCAAGAAAAUUAUCCUGUGGCUCAAUAUAUAGAUCAGUCCUACAGGAUUCUUGUCAAAUCAGACAUAAAUUCAGGUGCCAUGCUAUCGAAAAGAACUCUGAAAAUACAAAUCAUUAUGGAUAAAGCCAUGUAUGCUUAUAUGGGCUCCACGGUGGCAGUUGCAGUUGAGAAAGUUUUCCAAAUCUUUGGUCUUAUCAACACUAUGUUUUCCCAGCUUAAUAUGACAGUUAUGCUGUCUUCCUUGGAGAUCUGGUCAGAUCAAAAUAAGAUUUCAACAAGUGGUCAUGCUGAUGAAAUACUACAGCGAUUUUUGCCUUGGAAACAAAAAUUUUUGUUUCAAAGGUCUCAUGAUAUGACAUACUUAUUAAUUUAUAGGAACCAUUCUACUUAUGUGGGAGCAACAUAUCACGGAAUGGCAUGCGAUCCAAAGUUUGCAACAGGAAUUGCUCUGUAUCCAAAGAAAAUCACUGCAGAGGCCUUUUCAGUUGUUAUGGCACAGUUGCUUGGAAUUAAUCUGGGAUUGACAUAUGAUGAUAUCUACAAUUGUUACUGUCCAGGAACUACAUGCAUAAUGAAUCCUGAUGCGAUAUGAUCCCAUGGUAUGAAGUUUUUUAGCAGUUGCAGCAUGGAUGGAUUUAAACGGAUAGUUCUGCAGCCUGAACUUAAAUGUUUUCAGGAUAAAACAGUUUCAAAAAUGACUUACCGAAAAUCUUCAACUUGUGGCAAUGGAAUUUUGGAACCUACAGAGCAGUGUGAUUGUGGCUAUAAAGAGGCAUGCACUCAUAAAAAAUGCUGUAAUCCUGCAGAUUGUACUCUAGUUAGAUCUGCAGAAUGUGGCACUGGAUCAUGCUGUAACAAUAAAACUUGUACGAUCCACGAAAGAGGCCAUGUCUGCAGAAAAAGUGUAGAUAUGUGUGAUUUUCCAGAAUAUUGCAAUGGAACAUCUGAGUUUUGUGUACCUGAUGUGAAAGCUGCUGAUUUAGAAUACUGCAGUAAUAAGACUAGCUAUUGCUUUAAAGGAGUAUGCAGAGAAAGGGAUAGACAGUGUUCACAGUUAUUUGGAAAAUUUGCUAAGUCUGCUAAUCUUCUGUGUACAGAAGAAGUGAAUUUUCAAAAUGACAAAUUUGGAAACUGUGGUUCCCGUUGUGAUUUUUUUGAUAUCCUUUGUGGAAAGAUUGUUUGUCACUGGAUACAUUCAGAACUAGUACCAAUGACAGACUUAGACAUACAAUAUACUUACCUUAGAGGUCACGUAUGUUUGUCCGCACAUGCAAGAAAUGGUUCAAAACAAUCGGAGACCUAUACAGAAGAUAUAACUGCAUGUGGCCAACACAAGGUAUGUCACUCCCGAGAAUGCAGAAAUUUUAGUGAACUAAAUAUAACAAAAUAUACUACAAAUUGUGGACAGAAUGGGAUUUGCAAUGAACAUUUCCAUUGUCAAUGUGAUCCUGGUUAUGCUCCUCCAGAUUGUGAGCCAGCAAUGUCAUCACCAGGAGGAAGUAUCAAUGAUGGAUUUUGGCUUACAGUAGAAAAAAGUGUACCCUUGCUUCCAAAACGACGUGCUGCUCCUAAAAACAAUGGUCUUUUGAUCAGUUUCUACAUUUUUUCACCUUUGCUCAUUUUAAUUGCUAUUGUUAGUCUUAAAUGGAAUAAAAUGAAGAGAUUUCGGAGCAAAGUGGGAACAGUAAGCAGCAGAUCUAUCUCAGAAGACAGCGGUAGUAACAGCAGCCAGUCACAGAGUUAAAGUAACCAAGUGAUAAAAUCAAAGCCAUCGGAUGAAGAAAGGAUAUUACCAAGAAACUCACCAUUAACUUAAAACUUUCAACUUCACAGAAAAAAAUAAAUCAUAUGACUAAAAGCAUA